RNAcentral lists this ribosomal RNA (465 nucleotides) under uncultured bacterium. RNAcentral describes it as "partial 16S ribosomal RNA". It matches the Rfam family "Bacterial small subunit ribosomal RNA", at positions 28 to 507 of the family's 1533-position model. The record is from RNAcentral.
GAUGAACGCUGGCGGCGUGCUUAACACAUGCAAGUCGAACGGAAAGGCUCCUGCUUGCAGGGGUACUCGAGUGGCGCACGGGUGGGUAACACGUGGGUGUUCUGCCCUGCACUUCGGGAUAAGCCUGGGAAACUGGGUCUAAUACCGGAGAGGACCACAUUUUGGAGGGUGUGGUGGAAAGUUUUUCGGUGUGGGUUGAGCUCGCGGCCUAUCGGCUUGUUGGUGGGGUAAUGGCAUACCAAGUCAUCGACGGGUAGCCGACAUGAGAGGGUGGACGGCCUCAUUAGGCCUGAGGUACGGACCAGAGUGCUAUGGGAGGCAGUGGUGGGAAAUAUUGCGCAAUGGGCCCAAGCCUGAUGCAGAGGCGCCGGGUGGGGGAUGAAGGCCUUCGGGUUGUAAACUGCUUUAGCUAAAGACGUAGCGCUAGUGACGGUACCUGGAGAAGAAGCACCGGCUAACUACGUG